This 450-nucleotide ribosomal RNA is filed under the name uncultured bacterium. RNAcentral describes it as "partial 16S ribosomal RNA". It matches the Rfam family "Bacterial small subunit ribosomal RNA", at positions 354 to 796 of the family's 1533-position model. The record is from RNAcentral.
GUAGGGAAUCUUCCACAAUGGACGAAAGUCUGAUGGAGCAACGCCGCGUGAACGAUGAAGGCUUUCGGGUCGUAAAGUUCUGUUGUAAGGGAAGAACAAGUGCCGCAGGCAAUGGCGGCACCUUGACGGUACCUUGCGAGAAAGCCACGGCUAACUACGCGCCAGCAGCCGCGGUAAUACGUAGGUGGCAAGCGUUGUCCGGAAUUAUUGGGCGUAAAGCGCGCGCAGGCGGCCUCUCAAGUCUGAUGUGAAAGCCCCCGGCUCAACCGGGGAGGGCCAUUGGAAACUGGGAGGCUUGAGUAUAGGAGAGAAGAGUGGAAUUCCAUGUGUAGCGGUGAAAUGCGUAGAGAUGUGGAGGAACACCAGUGGCGAAGGCGACUCUCUGGACUGUAACUGACGCUGAGGCUCGAAAGCGUGGGGAGCAAACAGGAUUAGAUACCCGUGUAGUCC